GCCGGGUAGCUAUGUACGGACGGGAUAACCGCUGAAAGCAUCUAAGCGGGAAGCCCCCCUCAAGAUUAGAUCUCCCUGGACCCUCGAGGUCCCUGAAGGGCCGUUGAAGACUACGACGUUGAUAGGCUGGAUGUGGAAGCGCAGUAAUGCGUGCAGCUAACCAGUACUAAUUGACCGUGAGGCUUGACCAUAUAACACCCAAGCGGUU
Molecule: ribosomal RNA, 208 nt
Filed under: Gammaproteobacteria bacterium
Lineage: Bacteria; Pseudomonadati; Pseudomonadota; Gammaproteobacteria
Description: partial 23S ribosomal RNA
Rfam family: Bacterial large subunit ribosomal RNA
Source: RNAcentral